GAUGAACGCUGACAGAAUGCUUAACACAUGCAAGUCUACUUGAACUUCGGUUUGGGUGGCGGACGGGUGAGUAACGCGUAAAGAACUUGCCUCACAGUUAGGGACAACAUUUGGAAACGAAUGCUAAUACCUGAUAUUAUGAUUUUAGGGCAUCCUAAAAUUAUGAAAGCUAUAUGCGCUGUGGGAGAGCUUUGCGUCCCAUUAGCUAGUUGGAGAGGUAACGGCUCACCAAGGCGAUGAUGGGUAGCCGGCCUGAGAGGGUGAACGGCCACAAGGGGACUGAGACACGGCCCUUACUCCUACGGGAGGCAGCAGUGGGGAAUAUUGGACAAUGGACCAAAAGUCUGAUCCAGCAAUUCUGUGUGCACGAUGACGUUUUUCGGAAUGUAAAGUGCUUUCAGUUGGGAAGAAAAAAAUGACGGUACCAACAGAAGAAGUGACGGCUAAAUACGUG
RNAcentral lists this ribosomal RNA (454 nucleotides) under uncultured bacterium. RNAcentral's name for it is "partial 16S ribosomal RNA". It matches the Rfam family "Bacterial small subunit ribosomal RNA", at positions 28 to 507 of the family's 1533-position model. The record is from RNAcentral.